This 945-nucleotide ribosomal RNA is filed under the name uncultured organism. Its description in RNAcentral is "bacterial SSU rRNA". It matches the Rfam family "Bacterial small subunit ribosomal RNA", at positions 469 to 1411 of the family's 1533-position model. The record is from RNAcentral.
UUGACGGUACCCUACUAGAAAGGAGCCGCUAACUUCGUGCCAGAAGCGUCGGUAAUACGGGGGCUCCAAGCGUUAUCCGGUGUUAUUGGGCGUAAAGAGUCGUGUAGGUGGUUGGGUAAGUUAUCUUUCAAAUAUCUUUGCUUAACAAAGAGGAGGGGGAUAAUACUGCUCGACUAGAAUUUUCUCAAGGGAGAUCGGAACUGAGGGAGGAGUAGUGAAAUGCGUUGAUACCCUCGGGAACACCAGUGGCGUAGGCGGAUCUCUGGGAGAAGAUUGACACUGAGACACGAAAGCUAGGGGAGCGAAGCAGAUUAGAGACCUGCGUAGUCCUAGCCGUAAACGCAUGCUUGCUAGCUGCAUGAAUCUACCUUCGGGUGGUAUCGUGUGGCGAAGGUAACCCGUUAAGCAAGCCGCCUGGAAAGUACGGCCGCAAGGCUGAAAUUCAAAGGAAUUGGCGGGGAGGCACACAACCAGUGGAACAUGUGGUUUAAUUCGAGACUAACCGAAGAACCUCACCAGGGUUUGACAUGUAGCCGCACGUCUUAAGAAAUUAAGACUCUCUUGAAGGUGCUACACAGGUGCUGCAUGGCUGUCGUCAGCUCGUUCCGUGAGGAGUGCCCUUAAGUGGGACAACGAGCGCAACCCCUAUUACAUGUUAGAAAUGUCAUGUAAGACUGCCUUGCCAUUUGGCGGGGAGGAAGGAGGGGCAGACGUCAAGUCCGCAUGGUCCUUAUGCCCUGGGCUACACACAUGUUACAAUGAGUACGGCAAUGAGUCUGUCGCGAGCACGUAAGUGUAAGCUAAUCUCUUAAAUGUACUCUCAGUGGGGAUUGAGGUCUGCAACUCGACCUCAUGAACACGGAAUUGGUAGUAAUCGCGGGUCAGCUAUACCGCGGUGAAUACGUUCUUGCCUCUUGCACACACCGCCCGUCAAACCAGCAAAGU